GGAGGGAUGCGAGAGUGGCCGAAUCGGGCGGUCUCGAAAACCGCUGUACCCGCAAGGGUACCGUGGGUUCAAAUCCCACUCCCUCCGCAA
RNAcentral lists this transfer RNA (90 nucleotides) under Ferrithrix thermotolerans DSM 19514. RNAcentral describes it as "tRNA_Pseudo_CGA". It matches the Rfam family "tRNA". From Rfam's summary of the family: Transfer RNA (tRNA) molecules are approximately 80 nucleotides in length. Lineage: Bacteria; Bacillati; Actinomycetota; Acidimicrobiia; Acidimicrobiales; Acidimicrobiaceae. The record is from RNAcentral.